GUUGGUUAUUCCUUCUCUCGCUCGCUGUCGAGUUCUUGGGGGAGGAAACUCCAACUAGAUCUUGAAGAGGAGGAGAGAGCGGAAGGGAGUCGAUCGAUCGGAUGAAGCGAGGACGUUACCCACCGCCAUCGAAGGGUUCCUCCGCCGAAGCUGAAGAAGACAAUUGUCUACAUUCCACCAGUUGAAGCCUCAAGAAUCAAAAUCAAGACACUCCUAUUACAAUCAGUACCAACCGUACGCUGGUUCAUUCAAAGUCAUGCAAAAUCUUAAAUGACAAAGUUAUCAGUGUAUAUAAUUGUUCUUACUUUGUUUUUCUUAAAAUUAAUUCAAUGUUGGAAAGCAUUUUCUA
Molecule: long non-coding RNA, 349 nt
Organism: Musa acuminata subsp. malaccensis (wild Malaysian banana)
Lineage: Eukaryota; Viridiplantae; Streptophyta; Magnoliopsida; Zingiberales; Musaceae
Source: RefSeq, a predicted model, not a curated record